Molecule: ribosomal RNA, 326 nt
Filed under: Bostryx scalariformis
Lineage: Eukaryota; Metazoa; Mollusca; Gastropoda; Stylommatophora; Orthalicidae
Description: partial 16S ribosomal RNA
Rfam family: Bacterial large subunit ribosomal RNA
Source: RNAcentral
GACUGUGCUAAGGUAGCAUAAUCAUUUGGCCUUUAAUUGGGGUCUAGUAUGAAAGGAUUAAUUAAGGGAGUCUGUCUUUUCGACAUUAAAGUUAACUUAAUAAGAAGGUGAAAAUGCCUUUAAUAAAAUGAAAGACGAGAAGACCCUUAGACUUAUUUACAAUUUUAUAUAGAUAUAUAAUUAGUUUUUGCUGGGGCGGCAGAGCUUCAAAUUUUAACAAGCUUUAUUUUGAGAGAUGUAACAAAUAUUAUUUCUUUAAAAUUAAGUACCUGAGGGAUAACAGCAUUAUUAACAUAUUAGAUUGUGACCUCGAUGUUGGACUAGGA